CCUACGGGAGGCAGCAGUGGGGGAUAUUGCACAAUGGGGGAAACCCUGAUGCAGCGACGCCGCGUGGGCGAAGAAGUAUUUCGGUAUGUAAAGCCCUAUCAGCAGGGAAGAAGAAAUGACGGUACCUGAGUAAGAAGCACCGGCUAAAUACGUGCCAGCAGCCGCGGUAAUACGUAUGGUGCAAGCGUUAUCCGGAUUUACUGGGUGGAAAGGGAGCGCAGGCGGCACGGCAAGCCUGAUGUGAAAGCCCGCGGCCCAACCGCGGGACUGCAUUGGGAACUACCGGGCUGGAGUGCCGGAGAGGGAGGCGGAAUUCCUAGUGUAGCGGUGAAAUGCGUAGAUAUUAGGAGGAACACCAGUGGCGAAGGCGGCCUACUGGACGGUGACUGACGCUGAGGCUCGAAAGCGUGGGGAGCAAACAGGAUUAGAUACCCUGGUAGUC
This 442-nucleotide ribosomal RNA is filed under the name uncultured bacterium. RNAcentral describes it as "partial 16S ribosomal RNA". It matches the Rfam family "Bacterial small subunit ribosomal RNA", at positions 338 to 795 of the family's 1533-position model. The record is from RNAcentral.